Molecule: small RNA, 167 nt
Filed under: uncultured Blautia sp.
Lineage: Bacteria; Bacillati; Bacillota; Clostridia; Lachnospirales; Lachnospiraceae
Description: Clostridiales-1 RNA
Rfam family: Clostridiales-1 RNA
Source: RNAcentral
GAUACCAGGGUUAAAAGUUCAGAAUGUCGUUCCUGCUUGCAGGAUAAGACAUUUGAACUUGGAACCCGCCAGACAUGAGGAAGUAGCGAUUUACGGAGUAAAUCUGUGGAUUCCGAAUGGCUGUAGAAUUACGUGAGCUGUGCAACAGCGGAGUAAUUCGUAGGUAU